RNAcentral lists this long non-coding RNA (3937 nucleotides) under Salmo salar (Atlantic salmon). Its description in RNAcentral is "lncRNA (ENSSSAG00000093299.1, ENSSSAG00000101646.1)". Lineage: Eukaryota; Metazoa; Chordata; Actinopteri; Salmoniformes; Salmonidae. The record is from RNAcentral.
UACCACAGGGAGAAUGUGUGUAGUGGGCGUUCCAGUGACCUAUGAUAUUAUUUAGCAGGGUUGGGGACCAAUUCUGUUUCCUUAUAUAAAAGAAAAUACUUCCUGAAUUGACUUGAAUUGAAAUGGAAUCGACUCCCAAACCUUCUGUUUUAAAAUGGUGUGUUUUAGUGACCUUUCCACAUACUGUUUCAUCUGUUUCGUUCUGACAUGACUGCGUACUCAGUUUUGUGCGCUGUAGCCUACCUGCACAGAUCGGGACUGAAGAUGUACAGUCUCUCCGUCUUGGACAGCAGGGGGUGGAAGGCACUGCCGUCUGUACCGUUGAUCAUAUUACUCUGCUCAGACGUCCACAGGCUCAGUUUACUGAAACACAAUGAUUUAUUUCUAAAUGUAACUCAAUUAAAGGAAGAAUCUAAUACCUAUAAAAUACAAAAGCACUGUCUAGCCCAAUGUUUGAUUGUUUAGGUUUAUACGACUUAUCAAACAAUGUAUUAAAUCAAAUCAAAUGAAAUGUUAUUGGUCACGUACAUAUAUUUAGCAGAUGUUAUUGCGGGUGUAUCGAAAUGCUUGUGUUACUAGCUCUAACAGUGCAAUAAUAUCUAACAAUUCACAACAAUACACACAAAUCUAAAAGUAAAAUUAUUAAAGUGACUAGUGUUCCAUAAUUAAAGUGACUAGUGUUCCAUUAUUAAAGUGACUAGUGUUCCAUAAUUAAAGUGACUAGUGUUCCAUUAUUAAAGUGACUAGUGUUCCAUUAUUAAAGUGACUAGUAUUCCAUUAUUAAAGUGACUAGUGUUCCAUUAUUAAAGUGACUAGUGUUCCAUUAUUAAAGUGACUAGUGUUCCAUUAUUAAAGUGACUAGUGUUCCAUAAUUAAAGUGACUAGUGUUCCAUUAUUAAAGUGACUAGUAUUCCAUUAUUAAAGUGACUAGUGUUCCAUUAUUAAAGUGACUAGUGUUCCAUUAUUAAAGUGACUAGUGUUCCAUUAUUAAAGUGACUAGUGUUCCAUUAUUAAAGUAACCAGUAAUUCCAUGUCUAUAUAGGGCAGCAGCCUCUAAGGUGCAGGGUUGAGUAGCUGGGUGGUAAUUGGCUAGUGAUGGCUGUUUAACAGUCUGAUGGCCUUGAGAUACAAUGUUAAUACACAUUUGUGCUUUAUCUUGUUAGGUUCUAUAACAGAGUAAAAAAAAACUCAUGGACAACUAGGGAAAGCUUGAACCAAGUUUAUUCACCCAAUGGGUCAGACAGCUGACAGCUGAACAGACAAAGACAUGUUCCCACCAGCACAAGUAUAUAUACCCCACUUUAGGUGUGGUAUAUAUAAGCAGGAAGUUAACUGAUGUGAACUGUUCCUUCUCAAUGUGACCCGGACCUAACCUCGGGCCCCAUUCCUCACUACUUAUCAGUGACAUAAACCAUGUGAUUGCCUUUCCUUUACUCAGUACAUUCCCCUGGCUCAUAUCCAACCUGAAUUGACCUCACGAUAUUCAAACGUCCUACAGAUAUCCAUUAACUUCUGGUGUAGAAACCAGACUGUGGUCCUUCUCCUUUCCAUAGGAUACCUGCUGUCUAACAAGAACAUGUUCUGACAGAAUGUAAACGUUCUGCAUUCCCCUCUCUCUCUCUCUCCGUAGCAUUGAUCAAGGAUAUUUCACACUUCAAGUUCAGAAGUCUGAAGCCAUCAAUCUAAUCAAAGGGGAAGAAGGAAAAGAUGCUGCCCUGCGUCCAUACUGAUACUCUAGCAGGACGUGAGAAGAUAGCUAACGAGAAGUUCUCAUUGAGUCUUUUCUAACAGGGCCAAAUACCAGAAUGUGACAAUCACACAGCUCUGUGUUCUGGCUAGGCUAGGGGCCUCUGGGGAGUCUCUCUCUCUCUCUCUCUCUGGUGCUGCAGACUCCUGGUCCACAUUCCAAAUGGAACCCUAUUUCCUAUACAGAGCACUACUUUGAAACAGGGCCAACAGGGGCUCUGGUCAAAAGUAGGAGCACUACAUAGAGAAUAGUGUGCCAUUUGGGAUGCAAGCCCUGUCCUCUGUUACUCUCUCGCAGUAUGUAGAAGGUCUUAGGAAACCUGUGGACUGUUCCAUUCCAGUCUUUUACACAAGAGAGUUACUUAAUGAUGGGUUUCUCAUCAUCAAACACAAGUGUUCAUCUAGGAGACGAUGUGCAGGUUACAGUAUGUAAUGUAGCAGACGGAGGAUGUGCAGGUUACAGUAUGUAAUGUAGCAGACAUAGGAUGUGCAGGUACAGUAUGUAAUGUAGCAGACAGUUAGAUGAUGUGCAGGUACAGUAUGUAAUGUAGCAGACAGACAAUGUGCAGGUACAGUAUGUAAUGUAGCAGACAGACGAUGUGCAGGUACAGUAUGUAAUGUAGCAGACAGUUAGAGGAUGUGCAGGUACAGUAUGUAAUGUAGCAGACAGUUAGAGGAUGUGCAGGUACAGUAUGUAAUGUAGCAGACAGUUAGAGGAUGUGCAGGCACAGUAUGUAAUGUAGCAGACAGUUAGAGGAUGUGCAGGUACAGUAUGUAAUGUAGCAGACAGACGAUGUGCAGGUACAGUAUGUAAUGUAGCAGACAGAUGAUGUGCAGGUACAGUAUGUACUGUAGCAGACAGAGGAUGUGCAGGUUACAGUAUGUAAUGUAGCAGACAGAGGAUGUGCAGGUACAGUAUGUAAUGUAGCAGACAGUUAGAGGAUGUGCAGGUUACAGUAUGUAAUGUAGCAGACAGUUAGAGGAUGUGCAGGUACAGUAUGUAAUGUAGCAGACAGACGAUGUGCAGGUACAGUAUGUAAUGUAGCAGACAGACGAUGUGCAGGCACAGUAUGUAAUGUAGCAGACAGAGGAUGUGCAGGUACAGUAUGUACUGUAGCAGACAGUUAGAGGAUGUGCAGGUACAGUAUGUAAUGUAGCAGACAGUUAGAGGAUGUGCAGGUACAGUAUGUAAUGUAGCAGACAGUUAGACGAUGUGCAGGUACAGUAUGUAAUGUAGCAGACAGUUAGAGGAUGUGCAGGUACAGUAUGUAAUGUAGCAGACAGAGGAUGUGCAGGUACAGUAUGUAAUGUAGCAGACAGUUAGAGGAUGUGCAGGUACAGUAUGUAAUGUAGCAGACAGAUGAUGUGCAGGUACAGUAUGUAAUGUAGCAGACAGUUAGAGGAUGUGCAGGUACAGUAUGUAAUGUAGCAGACUGUUACAACACAGCACUAUCUUUUGGAGUCACUUUCUUAUGAGGAUCCAGCACUCCACUUUUUUUUGGGGAAGAAUAAUCUGUGAGUGAGUAUCACGUUGUCUAUUAUCUAAGUUACAACACAGAAACAUGUGUGUCAUCGUGGGCCAAUAUGUUUCGGUACCUUUCCCCUUUAAACGUGGCUACCCUGCCGUAGUCCAUGAAGUCCGCCUCCCCGGUAUGAUAAACAAAUUCACCAUCGUUGCUUCCAUUUUUCUACAGAGUGGGAAAAUAAUGAAAAUCAUUUUAAAGUGUAUAUUUUAUUUUCUCAUAUUAUUAUUUUAUCACCGCACAGGACUUUAGGUGGCCACGGCAACCCCCAGCAGAUACAACAGGUUGCAGUGACCAUUGUAAAUCCAACGUCUCCUAGGCUACAGUACCCAAAUACUUAUUUACGGAACUUAGUGAGGAACUGAGUAGGUCAAAUUCUUCAUUUUGUAUUGGCACCGAGUGGACACCUACCUUGUACAUUAGGCCAAAGUACUCGUCGAUCUCUGGGUUUAUGGGAUGGAUGCGGGACAACAGAGGGUCCUUGAAGCCCCACAGCAGCUCGUUGACGGAGCGCGUCAUGAACAUGCCGACUUGCAGGGAGUUCAUCCAUACAGAUACCAUCGAACUCUUCCAGAAACUAUCCUUCACCUUGUUCAUCACCGCCUGAGGAGGGAGGAGGGAGGGGGAACCUGAAAACCCUGUUUACUCAGCACAACCUGAAAACCCUG